AAAAAGAUAAGCUAAAUUAAGCUAUUAGGUUCAUACCCUAAAUAUAGGAUUCAUCCUUCUUUUUA
This 65-nucleotide transfer RNA is filed under the name Stephanitis chinensis. RNAcentral's name for it is "tRNA-Met". The record is from RNAcentral. Lineage: Eukaryota; Metazoa; Arthropoda; Insecta; Hemiptera; Tingidae.